This 29-nucleotide non-coding RNA is filed under the name Homo sapiens (human). The record is from RNAcentral. Lineage: Eukaryota; Metazoa; Chordata; Mammalia; Primates; Hominidae.
UGACUGAAGUCACAGGUCCACCUACUGAA